GUCAUAAGUUCACACGAAUCUGCUGAUGACGUUUCACAUGGACAGACAACUACGCAUUAUUGUAUUUUUAAUUGUAUUUUUUGCGUGUGUUAUUUUUAUUUAAUUAUUAUGAAAAUCAUGGUCAUUAUUAUUGAGCCUUGGCUGGCAGUCUGUUUUGAAUUUGUUUUAUUGAAAAAACAAACACACAACGCUUAUUGUGUUGCGCCUGCGCAGUGACUUUCUUUUCCAACCGCCUUUCCAGUCAAGAGGACGUGACGAAUGUUCCUGUCUGCAUCAGCUAUCCAUCUGAAAAAGAAAAGCUGGCACUCUCAAAGGAGAUUGUGUUUUUGGAUUAUGGUCUCAUUUGGUCAAAAAGAGGGACAUGUACCGAGCAUUUUUUUUUUUUUUUUUUUUUUUUUUUUUGAUGGGCCAUCACACAGUGGAUUUAUAAAAAUGAGAUUACAGAACAUCAGACGGUAGCUUCAACAGAGUUGAAGUGGGAGGACAUCAUCAAUUAAGAAUGCCAUUGACCAAACCUUCAGUCAUCAAAGAAGAUGGAUACAGGGGGACAUCCAGUUUUCCAGACUUACCGAUGGGAAAGAAGAAAUGGGAAUGUGACAAUUAUUGAGAAACUCGGAAAAAGCAUCUUUAGAGAAGAAAAUGGACAUCAGACAUUUAUUGAAGAAAGCUGACAGUCAACAUAAUGAUGAGAGCUGUGUUAUACAAUGUUAAGGAUACUCGUUCAUCUUCUGCUGUGUGAAUUCUGCUGUGUCAGACCUGUGGGACUUGAUGCCGGCUGGUAGCAGUGUGACGUCUUUGCUUACUAAAUGAUCAAAGGGUGUCUGAAAUCAGCUCAGCCACAGUUGGUUUCCAACGGUUCUUCAGGACAUGGAGGCCACUACGUAACUGUUGCAAUGAACGAUUCUUUUGCCUUUCCACCUGAUGUUGACAAUCUGACCUGUGCGGUACUGAAAACCACUUGCACUGACAUAUCUUAAAAUAUAUCAGUGUCCUUUGUUUUGCCUCAAAAUGCACACCAGUAAUGUUUUUUGUUGAAACCAGUUAUAUUUCCUAAUUAAACUAAGGCCUAGUCCUGGAUUAAGCUAAUCCACUGUCCGGGAAACCGCCCCUAAAUGUUUUGUGACGGAAAUUUCUUUGAAUACACUUGUCAAGUUCAUUUUAAGUAUUUUUCUAAAUGUAAGAUAACAUGUUAAUGUUUCAGGACAAGUUAAAAAAUUUUGAUAAUUUGCAUGUUGGAAACGAUUUCAGACAUUGUUCUAUUCAACAUGUUUAGCACAGUUGCUUUUAAAUUCAAUGAAUUAUUUUAUAAAUAGUGUUUUAAAACGUAUCAAUGUAAUGUAUGUUUGAAGUUAUUAUACUUGCACUUACAUUUAUUUAAAUUAGCAUACAUCUAGCAACAUAGAGUACUAGCAUAUUUUCAUGC
This is a non-coding RNA of Misgurnus anguillicaudatus (oriental weatherfish), 1423 nucleotides long. NCBI's taxonomy places the organism in Eukaryota, Metazoa, Chordata, Actinopteri, Cypriniformes, Cobitidae. The record is from RefSeq and is a predicted model, not a curated record.